RNAcentral lists this ribosomal RNA (302 nucleotides) under uncultured bacterium. RNAcentral describes it as "partial 16S ribosomal RNA". It matches the Rfam family "Bacterial small subunit ribosomal RNA", at positions 508 to 809 of the family's 1533-position model. The record is from RNAcentral.
GCAGUAGCCACGGUAAUACAGAGGGUGCAAGCGUUAAUCGGAAUUACUGGGCGUAAAGCGCGCGUAGGUGGUUUGUUAAGUUGGAUGUGAAAGCCCCGGGCUCAACCUGGGAACUGCAUCCAAAACUGGCAAGCUAGAGUACGGUAGAGGGUGGUGGAAUUUCCUGUGUAGCGGUGAAAUGCGUAGAUAUAGGAAGGAACACCAGUGGCGAAGGCGACCACCUGGACUGAUACUGACACUGAGGUGCGAAAGCGUGGGGAGCAAACAGGAUUAGAUACCCCAGUAGUCCCUGUCUCUUAUAA